AUUGAACGCUGGCGGCAGGCCUAACACAUGCAAGUCGAGCGGAUGAAGGGAGCUUGCUCCUGGAUUCAGCGGCGGACGGGUGAGUAAUGCCUAGGAAUCUGCCUGGUAGUGGGGGAUAACGUCCGGAAACGGGCGCUAAUACCGCAUACGUCCUGAGGGAGAAAGUGGGGGAUCUUCGGACCUCACGCUAUCAGAUGAGCCUAGGUCGGAUUAGCUAGUUGGUGGGGUAAAGGCCUACCAAGGCGACGAUCCGUAACUGGUCUGAGAGGAUGAUCAGUCACACUGGAACUGAGCCACGGUCCAGACUCCUACGGUAGGCAGCAGUGGGGAAUAUUGGACAAUGGGCGAAAGCCUGAUCCAGCCAUGCCGCGUGUGUGAAGAAGGUCUUCGGAUUGUAAAGCACUUUAAGUUGGGAGGAAGGGCAGUAAGUUAAUACCUUGCUGUUUUGACGUUACCAACAGAAUAAGCACCGGCUAACUUCGUG
Molecule: ribosomal RNA, 484 nt
Filed under: uncultured bacterium
Lineage: Bacteria
Description: partial 16S ribosomal RNA
Rfam family: Bacterial small subunit ribosomal RNA
Source: RNAcentral